CAGGCCUAACACAUGCAAGUCGCACGAGAACUCUUUAGCUUGCUAAAGAUAGUAAAGUGGCGCACGGGUGAGUAUCGCGUGGGUAAUCUACCUCUGAAUCUGGGAUAACAUUGCGAAAGCGAUGCUAAUACCGGAUAAUAUCUUUUAAACCUUGGUUUUCAAGAUCAAAGGUGACCUCUAUAUAUAAGUUGCUGUUUGGAGAUGAGCCCGCGUACCAUUAGCUUGUUGGUGGGGUAAUGGCCUACCAAGGCCGCGAUGGUUAGCUGGUCUGAGAGGAUGAUCAGCCACACUGGAACUGACACACGGUCCAGACUCCUACGGGAGGCAGCAGUGAGGAAUUUUGCGCAAUGGGGGAAACCCUGACGCAGCAACGCCGCGUGAGUGAUGAAGGCUUUCGGGUCGUAAAGCUCUGUCAAGUGGGAAGAACAUGUUUGAUGAUAAUACCAUCAUGCACUGACGGUACCANUAAAGGAAGCACCGGCUAACUCCGUGCCAGCAGCCGCGGUAAU
Molecule: ribosomal RNA, 509 nt
Filed under: uncultured bacterium
Lineage: Bacteria
Description: bacterial SSU rRNA
Rfam family: Bacterial small subunit ribosomal RNA
Source: RNAcentral